Gadus morhua (Atlantic cod) is the source of this 59-nucleotide microRNA precursor. Lineage: Eukaryota; Metazoa; Chordata; Actinopteri; Gadiformes; Gadidae. The record is from Ensembl.
UAGUCUUUUCGCUCGGUUCUCCGUGUCAACAGUAGGGCUAGAACGGAGCAAAAAGACAA